This 730-nucleotide ribosomal RNA is filed under the name Chrysophyceae sp. RNAcentral describes it as "eukaryotic LSU rRNA". It matches the Rfam family "Eukaryotic large subunit ribosomal RNA", at positions 113 to 887 of the family's 3401-position model. Lineage: Eukaryota; Chrysophyceae. The record is from RNAcentral.
ACUGAAAAUCUUCGGAGUUGUAGUCUGGAGAAGUCAGGCCUAGUGAGCGCGCCGGGCAAAGUCUCCUGGAAAGGAGCGCCGAGGAGGGUGAAAGCCCCGUUCAUGCCCGGUGGCCGCGAUCGUCCGGCCGGCUUUCAACGAGUCGAGUUGUUUGGGAUUGCAGCUCUAAGCGGGUGGUAAAUUCCAUCUAAAGCUAAAUAUCGGUGGGAGACCGAUAGCGAACAAGUACCGUGAGGGAAAGAUGAAAAGAACUUUGAAAAGAGAGUUAAACAGUACCUGAAAUUGCUGAAAUGGAACCGAUGGGAGUCAGUGUAUUGGCCGGCGCGGGCAUUCAUGUCCGCGUGGCUGGUCAGGCUUCCUUGGGCGCGCAGGAGAGGCCUCCGGUAAAUUCAUCCGUCCUUCACGGGAGGGCCGGGGUGGGCUGCUGUGCGUGAUUCGCCGAGGGACUCUGGCAAAAUGGCUCUUAUCAACCCGUCUUGAAACACGGACCAAGGAGUCUAACAUGUGUGCGAGUGCUCGGGGUUUGACCCCCCAGCGCGUAAUGAAAGUAAAGGCGGGCCUCGUUGCCCGCUGAGGUAGGACGUCCUCCGCGGCGGCACUAUCGACCGACCAUGAUCCUCCGGGUGAAAGGUUUGAGUGUGAGCAUACAUGUUGGGACCCGAAAGAUGGUGAACUAUGCCUGAGUAGGACGAAGCCAGGGGAAACUCUGGUGGAGGUCCGUAGCGGUUCU